This is a non-coding RNA of Tolumonas auensis DSM 9187, 97 nucleotides long. It matches the Rfam family "Bacterial small signal recognition particle RNA". Rfam says of the family: The signal recognition particle (SRP) is a universally conserved ribonucleoprotein involved in the co-translational targeting of proteins to membranes. The record is from Rfam. NCBI's taxonomy places the organism in Bacteria, Pseudomonadati, Pseudomonadota, Gammaproteobacteria, Aeromonadales, Aeromonadaceae.
GGUGGGUCCUCUCGCAUCAAUAGUUCGUGAACCCGGUCAGGUCCGGAAGGAAGCAGCCGAAGCGAACGACUUGAGUGCCGAGAUGUGGCUUAUCAGG